GACGAACGCUGGCGGCGUGCUUAACACAUGCAAGUCGAACGGAAAGGCCCUGCUUUUGUGGGGUGCUCGAGUGGCGAACGGGUGAGUAACACGUGAGUAACCUGCCCCUGACUUUGGGAUAACUCCAGGAAACUGGGGCGAAUACCGGAUAGGAGCUCCUGCUGCAUGGGGGGGGUUGGAAAGUUUCGGCGGUUGGGGAUGGACUCGCGGCUUAUCGGCUUGUUGGGGGGGUAGUGGCUGCCCAAGGCUUUGACGGGUAGCCGGCCUGGGAGGGUGACCGGCCUCAUUGCGCCUGAGGUACGGCCCAGACUCCUACGGGAGGCAGCAGUGGGGAGUAUUACACAAUGGGCGGAAGCCUGAUGCAGCGACGCCGCGUGCGGGAUGACGGCCUUCGGGUUGUAAACCGCUUUCGCCUGUGACGAAGCGUGAGUGACGGUAAUGGGUAAAGAAGCACCGGCUAACUACGUG
Molecule: ribosomal RNA, 468 nt
Filed under: uncultured bacterium
Lineage: Bacteria
Description: partial 16S ribosomal RNA
Rfam family: Bacterial small subunit ribosomal RNA
Source: RNAcentral